GACGAACGCUGGCGGCGUGCUUAACACAUGCAAGUCGAACGGAAAGGCCCUGCUUUUGUGGGGCGCUCGUGUGGAGAAGGGGAGUGACACACGUGAGUAAUCUCCCCCUGACUUUGGGAAAACUUCAGGAAACUGGGGAUAAUACCGGAUAGGAGAUCUUGAGGCUUGUGGGUGGAUGGAAAGUUUCGGUGGUUGGGGAUGGUCUCGCGGUUUAUUAGCUUGUUGGUGGGGUAGUGGCUUACCAAGGCUGUGAGGGGUAGCCGGCCUGGGGGGGGGACCGGCAACUUGGGGACUAGGAUACGGCCCAGACUCCUACGGGCGGCAGCAGGGGGAAUUAUUGCACAAUGGGGGGAAGCCUGUGGCGGCAACCCCGGGUGCGGAAGAACGGCCUUCGGGUGGAAAACCGCUUUGGCCGGUAAGAAGCCGUGUGUGACGGUAAUUAGUAAAGAAGCACCGGCUAACUACGUG
This 468-nucleotide ribosomal RNA is filed under the name uncultured bacterium. RNAcentral's name for it is "partial 16S ribosomal RNA". It matches the Rfam family "Bacterial small subunit ribosomal RNA", at positions 28 to 507 of the family's 1533-position model. The record is from RNAcentral.